AUUUGAUUCCCCCAAAGCCAGAACAUCCGAACCCUGGGCGUCCGUACUUUGCAACAUUCCGCCGAGCCUAUCUGCCUGACAACCGUGAGGGGAGAGAAGUCCUGGCCUUGCUUCGACGUGCCUUCAACCAACGGCUAGUCUUUACUGUCGGUACAUCAUCAAGUACCGGACUUUCAGACAAUGUCAUUUGGAAUGACAUUCACCACAAAACCAACAUACAUGGAGGGCCAACAAACUAUGGCUAUCCAGAUCCUGACUACUUGAGGAGAGUUAAAGAAGAACUUGCAGCUAAAGGCAUCAAGUAAAGAAGACAAGAAUAGUGUAUGAAAUUAACUACCGUGAACUCAUCUAUGUAAAAUAUGGGUUAGCAACACAAAUGUGUAUAUGAACCAAGUUUACCAAAUAUUCAAGCAGUGUCUCUUAAACCACUCUCCAUUGACAGUGACUUAAACUUUAUGAGAACUAGAUGAACAGAUGACACACUGUACUUUGCAUAUCUUUGCAUAUUUUUUUAAUGUGUGUAACGCUAACCAUGUAACAUGUAGUGCUUAGAUUGACACUUUGCAAUUGUUACCCAAAGUCGUUUAGCUGCAGUGUCUUAGUUUUGUUCUUUCAUAAAUCACAUAUUGUGCCAAGAUAUUCAUGUUACAUAGAUAACAUUACUUACUUUCUGUUAUUUCAGAAUAACUCCAGUGGAGCUUGUUAUACUGAUUGCAUAGGUCUCUACGACAUGAUGGUCACUUUCAGCUUUUAUGAUUCUUUACAAGUGGUAGUCUGGACAUGGUGGUUGUUACAGCUUGUCAUAAUGAACACAUUUUA
Long non-coding RNA from Branchiostoma floridae (Florida lancelet), 819 nucleotides. RefSeq lists it as uncharacterized. The record is from RefSeq and is a predicted model, not a curated record. The transcript is spliced from 2 exons. NCBI's taxonomy places the organism in Eukaryota, Metazoa, Chordata, Leptocardii, Amphioxiformes, Branchiostomatidae.